GUAGCAGAUCUGGUGGUAGGAGCUACUACUACUCUUCCAUUUGGACAUUGUUUGCUCAUCCUUAACUCAGCCAUGCCCCCCCAAUCGUCGUCCUCAUCUCCGAUGCCGGUUAUGGACGCACGGAUGUGGCUGGUACUUCAGGCCGGAGCACUGAUAGUUGUGAUUCAGGCAUUGGUGAUGUUCAUGCAAAGGUGAGCCGUUCAUCAUGUUGAGAGACCUAUCAUCAGAUAUGCUCCAUUGCUUAUGCAGGAGCAGAAGAGGAUCACCAAUCCAAACUACAUAUACAACUACAAUGACUUAGAAGCUCUAUGGAUGCUAUGAAUGAAAAGAGCACCAUUUGCCAGACUUGUUCAGACCUUCAGAUCCAGGGGGCUGCUAGAAGAUAGCAUCUACACCAUUGUGGAUGAGCAAAUGUCCAUGUUCCUUCAUAUUAUUGGCCAUAACCAGAGGUUUGGGGUUCUCCACAACACGUUUAGGAGGUCAAUGGAGACCAUGUCAAGGUACUUCAAGAAAGUGUGGUAUGCUGUUAGGGAGCUCAGAGGAGAGAUGAUCAAGUCACCACCGGUCAGGACUCCCACCAAGAUUCGCACAAGCCCAAGAUGGUAUCCAUACUUCAAGGUGAGCACUGAGUAUGUAGUGCAUUGCUUGAUAUGCUUGGAUAGUUCAAGGUGA
RNAcentral lists this ribosomal RNA (672 nucleotides) under Triticum aestivum (bread wheat). RNAcentral's name for it is "partial small subunit ribosomal RNA". Lineage: Eukaryota; Viridiplantae; Streptophyta; Magnoliopsida; Poales; Poaceae. The record is from RNAcentral.